UUUUUUUAAAAAUUUGUGCGUUUUUUGAAGGGGCAAAAAUUUUUCCCCAACAGAGAAAAAAAAAAGGGGGGGUCGAGGCCCCCGGUGGGGCUCUCUUUUCCACCGCCCCCGCGGGUAUAGAGAGGGCGCGCGCUUCUUUUUUUUUUUUUUGCGUGUAAAGCGCGCGUACGCGGUUUUUAAUCUAAGAGGAGAAGGCCCGGCGCGCUCUCCGUCCCCAGCCUUUGAUAAUAUAUCACUAACUCUCUAGAGAUCACAGUCCAAUUCAAAGUGUAGAUGUGAAUUACGUAUAUAUUCGAUAGAACACCAGUCGCGAAGGCGACUGACUGCACAAGUAAUGACUCUGAGGUGCGAAAGUGUGGAGAGCACACAGG
Molecule: ribosomal RNA, 371 nt
Filed under: uncultured Catonella sp.
Lineage: Bacteria; Bacillati; Bacillota; Clostridia; Lachnospirales; Lachnospiraceae
Description: partial 16S ribosomal RNA
Source: RNAcentral